RNAcentral lists this non-coding RNA (29 nucleotides) under Mus musculus (house mouse). Lineage: Eukaryota; Metazoa; Chordata; Mammalia; Rodentia; Muridae. The record is from RNAcentral.
UACUCAGCUGUGUCAGGUUAAUCAGGGUU